RNAcentral lists this unclassified non-coding RNA (164 nucleotides) under uncultured Tolypocladium. RNAcentral describes it as "sequence contains ITS1". Lineage: Eukaryota; Fungi; Ascomycota; Sordariomycetes; Hypocreales; Clavicipitaceae. The record is from RNAcentral.
CCGAGUUAUCAACUCCCAAACCCCUGUGAACAUACCUGAACGUUGCCUCGGCGGGACCGCCCCGGCGCCCAUCGCGGGCCCGGACCCAGGCGCCCGCCGGAGGACCCAAACUCUUGCUUUGACAGUGGCAUACUCUCUGAGUCUCACAAACAAAAAAUGAAUCA